RNAcentral lists this ribosomal RNA (253 nucleotides) under uncultured bacterium. RNAcentral describes it as "partial 16S ribosomal RNA". It matches the Rfam family "Bacterial small subunit ribosomal RNA", at positions 524 to 776 of the family's 1533-position model. The record is from RNAcentral.
UACGAAGGGGGCUAGCGUUGCUCGGAAUCACUGGGCGUAAAGCGCACGUAGGCGGAUUGCUAAGUCAGGGGUGAAAGCUCGGAGCUCAACUCCGAAAUGGCAUUGGAAACUACCUUGCUCGAGGGUUGGAGGGGGGACUGGAAUACUUGGUGUAGCAGUGAAAUGCGUAGAUAUCAAGUGGAACACCAGUGGCGAAGGCGAGUCCCUGGACAACUCCUGACACUGAGGCACGAAAGCUAGGGGAGCAAACAGG